RNAcentral lists this ribosomal RNA (480 nucleotides) under Priestia megaterium. Its description in RNAcentral is "bacterial SSU rRNA". It matches the Rfam family "Bacterial small subunit ribosomal RNA", at positions 328 to 799 of the family's 1533-position model. Lineage: Bacteria; Bacillati; Bacillota; Bacilli; Caryophanales; Bacillaceae. The record is from RNAcentral.
GGCCCAGACUCCUACGGGAGGCAGCAGUAGGGAAUCUUCCGCAAUGGACGAAAGUCUGACGGAGCAACGCCGCGUGAGUGAUGAAGGCUUUCGGGUCGUAAAACUCUGUUGUUAGGGAAGAACAAGUACGAGAGUAACUGCUCGUACCUUGACGGUACCUAACCAGAAAGCCACGGCUAACUACGUGCCAGCAGCCGCGGUAAUACGUAGGUGGCAAGCGUUAUCCGGAAUUAUUGGGCGUAAAGCGCGCGCAGGCGGUUUCUUAAGUCUGAUGUGAAAGCCCACGGCUCAACCGUGGAGGGUCAUUGGAAACUGGGGAACUUGAGUGCAGAAGAGAAAAGCGGAAUUUCCACGUGUAGCGGUGAAAUGCGUAGAGAUGUGGAGGAACACCAGUGGCGAAGGCGGCUUUUUGGUCUGUAACUGACGCUGAGGCGCGAAAGCGUGGGGAGCAAACAGGAUUAGAUACCCUGGUAGUCCACG